Molecule: long non-coding RNA, 656 nt
Filed under: Canis lupus familiaris (dog)
Lineage: Eukaryota; Metazoa; Chordata; Mammalia; Carnivora; Canidae
Description: lncRNA (ENSCAFG00845013415.1)
Source: RNAcentral
UCAGGUGGGGCAAGCCCCGAUGGGUUUUCUUUCUGAUGUGUCAGCAGGUUUGUGUCCUGGUCCCUCCAGCAGGCAUGGCCGUCUGUCCAGGGCAGUGUCAGGGGAAUCCUGCAGCCUGAAAAUGCUUUCCCCUCCGGGCCUGAGUAAGUUGUUCGAGACAGGAAGCCGUGGGACAACUAUCGGUCGAUGAGUCCCGGAUGUGACCGCUUCUGUGAAGCGUGCCACCUAGCCGGAUGGUUUCACCAUAACGUGUGAGUCCUUGCUGGGGGCAAGCCAGUGCUGGGGCCGUACUGAGGCUGCGCUGUUGCAGUGCAGGGAGCACCUGCCAUCCGCCUCUCCAUGGGCUUGGGCCUCUCCCAGCUGUGGCCGGGUCCAGAGAGGGAGCUUCCAGGAGGAGCUGGCGUUCCAGGAGCAUCUGGUGAGGGCUGCCCGGGUUUCGGCUGAGGGAGGAAGCGGCCAGAGCCCACCCCGCUCUGGGGAGACGGACAGAGACCCCACCACCCCAAGGAAAGAGGGUCCCAGACUUCAGGGUCAUGUUUUAUUGCUGCCACACGUGAGCUCCUAAGACCUCUUCAAGCCAGGAAUGUAGCUUCGUGCAAAAAUUCCUAAGGAAGAACACACUUCUGUCCUUUGUGUCGGGGGACAGUGGGGACCAG